This 310-nucleotide ribosomal RNA is filed under the name uncultured Treponema sp. Its description in RNAcentral is "bacterial SSU rRNA". It matches the Rfam family "Bacterial small subunit ribosomal RNA", at positions 355 to 655 of the family's 1533-position model. The record is from RNAcentral. Lineage: Bacteria; Pseudomonadati; Spirochaetota; Spirochaetia; Treponematales; Treponemataceae.
CUAAGAAUAUUUCCGGCAAUGGAGGAAACUCUGACGGAGCAACGCCGCGUGGACGAUGAAGGCCGGAAGGUUGUAAAGUCCUUUUAUAAUUGAGGAAUAAGCGGGACAGGGAAUGGUUCCGCGGUGACUGUAGAUUAUGAAUAAGCACCGGCUAAUUACGUGCCAGCAGCCGCGGUAACACGUAAGGUGCGAGCGUUAUUCGGAAUUAUUGGGCGUAAAGGGCACGCAGGCGGCUUUGCAAGCUUGGUGUGAAAUCUCAGGGCUCAACCCUGAAACUGCAUUGAGAACUGCAUGGCUAGAGUUAGUGAGG